UAUGAUUUCAUGUUUCCGUUUGGUGUAGCCAUACCAAACGUAACCAGUAGCCCUUAAUAGUUUCUUUUGUCUAGUCAUCUUACUCAUUUAUUAGUUAAUACAUAGAAUUUCAUUGUUAUUUGGCGUAUCAACACCAAAACGUGACCAACAACCCUUGAGAGUCUCUUCUGGCUAGCGAAAUUAUAAAGAAUUCGUGUAGUAACAAUAACUUGCUCUUGGGAAUUCAUUUUUGAAGGAAGCAAAACAGAGCUUUAUUAUACUCUUGAAAUUCAGCAUUUCAGCAAGUUGUGGUUGAAAGAGUGGGCUGGUUCUAACAUUAAUUAAGAUUAAUAGCUUGGGCAGUAGAUAUUGGACGUACAGCUUGACGACAAGGUAUGUAAAGCUAUCCCUUCUUUCUUUUUGGCAUGAAUUACAUAAAACGAGCGAACAAUGAACAUACAUGACUCCAAUGAAUUCUAGUUCUCAGUGGUACUUGACAUGAUAGUUGUCCUUGAUUCUCAAGUGUUGGUUCAUUCUAAUUAUUCUGUUGAGUAUCAGAUGAUGAUUUAAUUUGUAUAUGGUUGCUCCAGAUAUUCUAUUCGUGCAUAACGUUAUUACAUCAUUUCACCGAGUCCCGGGCCGGGCACAGACACUCAGUUUGGUGAUCCUCCGGCUUAGGACUUCUGCCCAGCUGCUUAGAGAGCUCUAUUGUUUCGGAGCUUGAGUUAUUUUGGGUACAGAUCCCUUUUGACAUAGACUUUGUUAUGCCCUUAGAAGUCUGUAGACAUGUGUGGGUUGUAAAUAUGAUCUGAUUAGCUAUACAGAUGUAGUUCGUCUUGGAUAUUCCCGUGUAUAGUGGCAGCCUUGUCGGCUUGUAUAUUUUGUUAUGUUUGAUUAACUGUGACUCCUCAGGAGACAGGUGCAUUCUGA
This is a long non-coding RNA of Lycium barbarum (goji berry), 909 nucleotides long. RefSeq lists it as uncharacterized. NCBI's taxonomy places the organism in Eukaryota, Viridiplantae, Streptophyta, Magnoliopsida, Solanales, Solanaceae. The transcript is spliced from 3 exons. The record is from RefSeq and is a predicted model, not a curated record.